CCUACGGGCGGCAGCAGUGAGGAAUAUUGGUCAAUGGGCGCGAGCCUGAACCAGCCAAGUAGCGUGAAGGAUGACUGCCCUACGGGUUGUAAACUUCUUUUAUAAAGGAAUAAAGUGAGGCACGUGUGCCUUUUUGUAUGUACUUUAUGAAUACGGCUCGGCUAACUCCGUGCCAGCAGCCGCGGUAAUACGGAGGAGCCGAGCGUUAUCCGGAUUUAUUGGGUUGAAAGGGAGCGUAGAUGGGUUGGUAAGUCAGUUGUGAAAGUUUGCGGCUCAACCGUAAAAUUGCAAUUGAUACUGGCAGCCUUGAGUACAGUAGAGGUAGGCGGAAUUCGUGGUGUAGCGGUGAAAUGCUUAGAUAUCACGAAGAACUCCGAUUGCGAAGGCAGCUUACUAAACUGCCACUGACAUUGAUGCUCGAAAGUGUGGGUAUCAAACAGGAUUAGAUACCCGAGUAGUC
Molecule: ribosomal RNA, 460 nt
Filed under: uncultured bacterium
Lineage: Bacteria
Description: partial 16S ribosomal RNA
Rfam family: Bacterial small subunit ribosomal RNA
Source: RNAcentral